CCUACGGGAGGCAGCAGUAGGGAAUCUUUCACAAUGGGCGAAAGCCUGAUGGAGCAACGCCGCGUGCAGGAUGAAGGCCUUCGGGUUGUAAACUGCUUUUAUAAGCGAGAAAUAUGAUGGUAACUUAUGAAUAAGGAUCGGCUAACUACGUGCCAGCAGCCGCGGUCAUACGUAGGAUCCUAGCAUUAUCCGGAGUGACUGGGUGUAAAGAGUUGCGUAGGUGGCAUAAUAAGUAGCUAGUGAAAUCUGGUGGCUCAACCAUUCAGACUAUUAGCUAAACUGUUAAGCUCGAGACCGUUAGGGGUAACUGGAAUUUCUAGUGUAGGAGUGAAAUCCGUAGAUAUUAGAAGGAACACCAAUAGCGUAGGCAGGUUGCUGGGACGGUUCUGACACUAAGGCACGAAAGCGUAGGGAGCAAACGGGAUUAGAUACCCCAGUAGUC
RNAcentral lists this ribosomal RNA (442 nucleotides) under uncultured bacterium. RNAcentral describes it as "partial 16S ribosomal RNA". It matches the Rfam family "Bacterial small subunit ribosomal RNA", at positions 338 to 795 of the family's 1533-position model. The record is from RNAcentral.